Molecule: ribosomal RNA, 426 nt
Filed under: uncultured bacterium
Lineage: Bacteria
Description: bacterial SSU rRNA
Rfam family: Bacterial small subunit ribosomal RNA
Source: RNAcentral
UGGGGAAUUUUGGACAAUGGGCGCAAGCCUGAUCCAGCAAUGCCGCGUGCAGGAUGAAGGCCUUCGGGUUGUAAACUGCUUUUGUACGGAACGAAAAAGCUCUCUCUAAUACAGGGGGUGAAUGACGGUACCGUAAGAAUAAGCACCGGCUAACUCCGUGCCAGCAGCCGCGGUAAUACGGAGGGUGCAAGCGUUAAUCGGAAUUACUGGGCGUAAAGCGUGCGCAGGCGGUUUGUUAAGUCUGCUGCGAAAUCCCCGAGCUCAACUUGGGAAUUGCAGUGGAUACUGGCAAGCUGGAGUACGGUAGAGGCAGGUGGAAUUCACGGUGUAGCAGUGAAAUGCGUAGAGAUCGGGAGGAACACCAGUGGCGAAGGCGGCCUUCUGGACCAGUACUGACGCUCAUGCACGAAAGCGUGGGGAGCAAAC